This 508-nucleotide ribosomal RNA is filed under the name uncultured Glomeromycotina. RNAcentral's name for it is "SSU rRNA". It matches the Rfam family "Eukaryotic small subunit ribosomal RNA", at positions 569 to 1078 of the family's 1831-position model. The record is from RNAcentral. Lineage: Eukaryota; Fungi; Glomeromycota.
AGCAGCCGCGGUAAUUCCAGCUCCGAUAGCGUAUAUUAAAGUUGUUGCAGUUAAAAAGCUCGUAGUUGAAUUUCGGGAUCAAUAUAUCGGUCGUGCCAUUGGUACGUACUGGUAUCAUUGGUUUCUCCUUUCUGACGAACCAUGAUGUCAUUAAUUUGGUGUUAUGGGAAGUUAGGACUGUUACUUUGAAAAAAUUAGAGUGUUUAAAGCAGGCUUUAGCUUGAAUACAUUAGCAUGGAAUAAUGAAAUAGGACGUUCGAACCUAUUUUGUUGGUUUCUAGGAUCAACGUAAUGAUUAAUAGGGAUAGUUGGGGGCAUUAGUAUUCAAUUGUCAGAGGUGAAAUUCUUGGAUUUAUUGAAGACUAACUACUGCGAAAGCAUUUGCCAAGGAUGUUUUCAUUAAUCAAGAACGAAAGUUAGGGGAUCGAAGACGAUCAGAUACCGUCGUAGUCUUAACCAUAAACUAUGCCGACUAGGGAUCGGAUGAUGUUAAUUUUUUAAUGACUCA